This 694-nucleotide ribosomal RNA is filed under the name uncultured bacterium. RNAcentral describes it as "bacterial SSU rRNA". It matches the Rfam family "Bacterial small subunit ribosomal RNA", at positions 32 to 715 of the family's 1533-position model. The record is from RNAcentral.
AACGCUAGCUACAGGCUUAACACAUGCAAGUCGAGGGGCAGCAUGAACAAAGCUUGCUUUGUUCGAUGGCGACCGGCGCACGGGUGAGUAACGCGUAUCCGACCUGCCCAUGACUCGGGCACAGCCGCUCGAAAGAGCGAUUGAUUCCCGAUAUGUCUAUGAAGUANAUUCAUGGAUGAAAGAUUUAUCGGUCAUGGAUGGGGAUGCGUAGGAUUAGGUAGUAGGCGGGGUAACGGCCCACCUAGCCGACGAUCCUUAGGGGUUCUGAGACGAAGGUCCCCCACCACUGGGUACUGAGACACGGACCAGACUCCUACGGGAGGCAGCAGUGAGGAAUAUUGGUCCAAUGGGCGGAAGCCUGAACCAGCCAAGUAGCGUGGAAAGGAUUACUGCCCUACGGGUUUUAAACUUCUUUUAUGCGAGAGUAAUGUGCGCUACGUGUAGCGUAUUGCAAGUAUCGCAUGAAUAAGCAUCGGCUAACUCCGUGCCAGCAGCCGCGGUAAUACGGAGGAUGCGAGCGUUAUCCGGAUUUAUUGGGUUUAAAGGGAGCGUAGGCGGGUCAUUAAGUCAGUCGUCAAAGCCUGUGGCUCAACCNCAGCCCGCGAUUGAUACUGGUGACCUUGAGUGCGGAUGAGGUGGAUGGAAUUCGUGGUGUAGCGGUGAAAUGCUUAGAUAUCACGAAGAACUCCGAUUG